UGUCUGUGGCCACCCUGAACGCACCCGAUCUCGUCUCAUCUCAGAAGCUAAGCAGGGUCAGGCUUGGUUAAUACCUGGAUGAGAGAAAGUGGAACCUGUCUCUAAGAUGU
RNAcentral lists this ribosomal RNA (110 nucleotides) under Fukomys damarensis (Damara mole-rat). The record is from RNAcentral. Lineage: Eukaryota; Metazoa; Chordata; Mammalia; Rodentia; Bathyergidae.